RNAcentral lists this ribosomal RNA (488 nucleotides) under uncultured bacterium. RNAcentral describes it as "bacterial SSU rRNA". It matches the Rfam family "Bacterial small subunit ribosomal RNA", at positions 31 to 507 of the family's 1533-position model. The record is from RNAcentral.
GAACGCUAGCGGCAGGCUUAACACAUGCAAGUCGAGGGGCAGCAUAAUGAAGUAGCAAUACGGAUUUGAUGGCGACCGGCGCACGGGUGCGUAACGCGUAUGUAACCUACCUCUAACAGGGGGAUAACACUGAGAAAUUGGUACUAAUACCCCAUAACACUUAAGGAGGCAUCUUCUUGAGUUGAAAGUUCCGGCGGUUAGAGAUGGACAUGCGUUGUAUUAGUUAGAUGGUGAGGUAACGGCUCACCAUGGCGACGAUACAUAGGGGGACUGAGAGGUUAACCCCCCACACUGGUACUGAGACACGGACCAGACUCCUACGGGAGGCAGCAGUGAGGAAUAUUGGUCAAUGGGCGAGAGCCUGAACCAGCCAAGUAGCGUGAAGGAUGACUGCCCUAUGGGUUGUAAACUUCUUUUGUUCGGGAAUAAAGUGCAGUACGUGUACUGUUUUGUAUGUACCGUUCGAAUAAGCAUCGGCUAAUUCCGUG